AAUUCUCAACUAUACAAGUUUUUAUAACAUGUAUAGCUUGGAUCUUGGGAUUUGCGGGCUUUCACAAGUCGGCUAUCCUUAAAUGCAUUAGCAGUGCUUUUGCCGCUAAUCUCUAGUGUGAUAAUUAUCUACGCUAUUGUGAGGCAGCAUGAAUAGAGCUUUGCUUCUAAUCGUCUUCACAGACAAUAUUUGACA
This 195-nucleotide unclassified non-coding RNA is filed under the name uncultured fungus. RNAcentral describes it as "sequence contains ITS2". Lineage: Eukaryota; Fungi. RNAcentral also lists the same sequence under 1 other name. The record is from RNAcentral.